RNAcentral lists this long non-coding RNA (404 nucleotides) under Vigna radiata. RNAcentral's name for it is "long non-coding RNA (VRAD_LNC014849)". Lineage: Eukaryota; Viridiplantae; Streptophyta; Magnoliopsida; Fabales; Fabaceae. The record is from RNAcentral.
UCCAGCAACUGCACGGUUUUGGGAAAUGGAUUGGGAAUUCACGGUCCCACAUGCUUGUGAGGUGGAGAAAAUAAUUUGCAUCCAAAUUAUGAAAUUGGGUCUCGGCUGGAGCAAUUUUUGUUCCACUCUUGGGAUAUUUAAUUGAAGAAAAAAAUGAAAUGGGAUUUGUUGAAUCUGGAAGCAUCAACCUCACGGUCCAGAGGUUUAUUCUAUAAGCUAUUGUUAUUUUAAAUUUUAUCAAUGAAUUUUAAUUGUAGGUUGUGUCGUUUAUUUUAAUUUGUUUAAUUUAAUUUUGCAUCUAAUUUAACUUAACUGUGUUUAGAAAUUUAGUUGCAUUGUUCAAUUCAAAAUUUUCAUGCAUUUUAAUUUAGUGUAAGUCUCAUAUGAAAUACUUUCAAACCCCC